AUGCCAUUGAGGAUUUAUCUACAGUGAAAAAGGAGGACUUAAUGUGACUAGGCCCAGAAGACUGAGUGGGCUUGAAACUGGAAUUAGUAGACCGAAAGUGGAUAGCGGAACUCACUUUGAAAUCCAGCACAUUAGAAGUUCCUACCAUCAUCCCGUUGUGAAAUCAACUCUAAGCACUAGAUUUUUGGAUGAGCAAUUCUCGUUCUAUCUCAUAUGCUAAAUUCAUGAUAUAACCAAUCGCUGUCGUUUCAUGCGAGCGAAUCUUCAAUCUAAUCUCUAGUGUCAAACCAUUCAAGAAAAAACCAAUGUAAUGUGAACCAAUAAUUCCUGUUACUUGGGAAGUUCGAGUCACAAAGAGAUGAAUAUAAUCCUCCACUGAACCUUCUUGUUGGAGUGCUGCGAGCCAUUCAAAGGGACUGGCAAUAACAUCCCCACCAUAAUAUUGGAAUAAUUCCAAAGAAAACCUCUCCCAAGUCAUUUGGGG
RNAcentral lists this unclassified non-coding RNA (484 nucleotides) under Hevea brasiliensis (rubber tree). Lineage: Eukaryota; Viridiplantae; Streptophyta; Magnoliopsida; Malpighiales; Euphorbiaceae. The record is from RNAcentral.